RNAcentral lists this ribosomal RNA (253 nucleotides) under uncultured bacterium. RNAcentral describes it as "partial 16S ribosomal RNA". It matches the Rfam family "Bacterial small subunit ribosomal RNA", at positions 524 to 776 of the family's 1533-position model. The record is from RNAcentral.
UACGCAGGGGGCUAGCGUUGCUCGGAAUUACUGGGCGUAAAGGGCGCGUAGGCGGCCAGUUUAGUCAGAGGUGAAAGCCCAGGGCUCAACCUUGGAACUGCCUUUGAUACUGACUGUCUUGAGUUCGGGAGAGGUGAGUGGAAUGCCGAGUGUAGAGGUGAAAUUCGUAGAUAUUCGGCGGAACACCAGUGGCGAAGGCGACUCACUGGCCCGAUACUGACGCUGAGGCGCGAAAGCGUGGGGAGCAAACAGG